UUGAUCCUGGCUCAGGACGAACGCUGGCGGCGUGCCUAACACAUGCAAGUCGAACGGAGAUAUUAGAUGAAGCUUGCGAUUCUAGUAUUUUAGUGGCGGACGGGUGAGUAACGCGUGGGUAACCUGCCCAUAAGUGGGGAAUAACAGUUGGAAGCGACUGCUAAUACCGCAUAAACUGAGGAAUCAGGAAAGGUGGCCUCUUAACAAUGCUACCGCUUAUGGAUGGGCCCGCGUCUGAUUAGCUAGUUGGUGGGGUAAGAGCCUACCAAGGCGACGAUCAGUAGCCGGCCUGAGAGGGUGAACGGCCACAUUGGGACUGAGACACGGCCCAAACUCCUACGGGAGGCAGCAGUGGGGAAUAUUGCGCAAUGGGGGAAACCCUGACGCAGCGACGCCGCGUGAGCGAAGAAGGUCUUCGAAUCGUAAAGCUCCUGUUUUAAGGGACGAAUGUUCAUGUGAGUAACUGCAUAUGAAAUGACGGUACCUUAAGAGGAAGCCCCGGCUAACUACGUGCCAGCAGCCGCGGUAAGACGUAGGGGGCGAGCGUUGUCCGGAAUUACUGGGCGUAAAGAGCACGUAGGCGGGAACUUAAGUCAGGUGUGAAAGACCGGGGCUCAACUCCGGGGUGGCACUUGAAACUGGGUUUCUUGAGGGCAGGAGGGGGAAGCAGAAUUCCUGGUGUAGCGGUGAAAUGCGUAGAAAUCAGGAGGAAUACCAGUGGCGAAGGCGGCUUUCUGGACUGACCCUGACGCUGAGGUGCGAAAGCGUGGGUAGCAAACAGGAUUAGAUACCCUGGUAGUCCACGCUGUAAACGAUGGAUACUAGGUGUAGGAGGUAUCGACCCCUUCUGUGCCGCAGCUAACGCAAUAAGUAUCCCGCCUGGGGAGUACGAUCGCAAGGUUGAAACUCAAAGGAAUUGACGGGGGCCCGCACAAGCGGUGGAGCAUGUGGUUUAAUUCGAUGCAACGCGAAGAACCUUACCAGGUCUUGACAUCUGUAGAACCUUAACGAAAGUUGAGGGUGCCUUCGGGAGCUACAAGACAGGUGGUGCAUGGUUGUCGUCAGCUCGUGUCGUGAGAAUGUUGGUUAAGUCCCGCAACGAGCGCAACCCUUGCUAUUAGUUGCUAACAGGCUAAGCUGAGCACUCUAAUGGGACUGCCCGUGACAAGCGGGAGGAAGGUGGGGAUGACGUCAAAUCAUCAUGCCCUUUAUGAUCUGGGCUACACACGUGCUACAAUGGAUGGUACAAAGAGAAGCAAGACCGCGAGGUGGAGCGAAUCUCAAAAAGCCAUUCUCAGUUCGGAUUGGAGUCUGCAACUCGACUCCAUGAAGUCGGAAUCGCUAGUAAUUGCGAAUCAGAACGUCGCAGUGAAUGCGUUCCCGGGCCUUGUACA
Molecule: ribosomal RNA, 1394 nt
Filed under: uncultured Syntrophomonas sp.
Lineage: Bacteria; Bacillati; Bacillota; Clostridia; Eubacteriales; Syntrophomonadaceae
Description: bacterial SSU rRNA
Rfam family: Bacterial small subunit ribosomal RNA
Source: RNAcentral